AUUGAACGCUGGCGGCAGGCCUAACACAUGCAAGUCGAGCGGAUGAAGGGAGCUUGCUCCUGGAUUCAGCGGCGGACGGGUGAGUAAUGCCUAGGAAUCUGCCUGGUAGUGGGGGAUAACGUCCGGAAACGGGCGCUAAUACCGCAUACGUCCUGAGGGAGAAAGCGGGGGACCUUCGGACCUCACGCUAUCAGAUGAGCCUAGGUCGGAUUAGCUAGUUGGUGGGGUAAAGGCCUACCAAGGCGACGAUCCGUAACUGGUCUGAGAGGAUGAUCAGUCACACUGGAACUGAGACACGGUCCAGACUCCUACGGGAGGCAGCAGUGGGGAAUAUUGGACAAUGGGCGAAAGCCUGAUCCAGCCAUGCCGCGUGUGUGAAGAAGGUCUUCGGAUUGUAAAGCACUUUAAGUUGGGAGGAAGGGCAGUAAGUUAAUACCUUGCUGUUUUGACGUUACCAGCAGAAUAAGCACCGGCUAACUUCGUG
This 484-nucleotide ribosomal RNA is filed under the name uncultured bacterium. Its description in RNAcentral is "partial 16S ribosomal RNA". It matches the Rfam family "Bacterial small subunit ribosomal RNA", at positions 30 to 507 of the family's 1533-position model. The record is from RNAcentral.